CCCAACUAUCCCUAUUAAUCAUUACGUCAAUCCUAGAAACCAACAAAAUAGGAUCGAACGUCCUAUUUCAUUAUUCCAUGCUAAUGUAUUCAAGCGAUCGCCUGCUUUAAACACUCUAAUUUUUUCAAAGUAACAGUCCUGUUUCCCCGCAACACCAAAUUAAUGGCAUUACGGUUCUACAAGAAGGAGGAACCACCGAGACCAGUACAUACCGGAGGCACGACCGACCUGAUGAUCCCGAAAUUCAACUA
Molecule: ribosomal RNA, 251 nt
Filed under: uncultured Glomus
Lineage: Eukaryota; Fungi; Glomeromycota; Glomeromycetes; Glomerales; Glomeraceae
Description: partial 18S ribosomal RNA
Source: RNAcentral